UGGGGAAUUUUGGACAAUGGGCGAAAGCCUGAUCCAGCAAUGCCGCGUGUGUGAAGAAGGCCUUCGGGUUGUAAAGCACUUUUGUCCGGAAAGAAAUCCUUGGCUCUAAUACAGUCGGGGGGAUGACGGUACCGGAAGAAUAAGCACCGGCUAACUACGUGCCAGCAGCCGCGGUAAUACGUAGGGUGCAAGCGUUAAUCGGAAUUACUGGGCGUAAAGCGUGCGCAGGCGGUUUGCUAAGACCGAUGUGAAAUCCCCGGGCUCAACCUGGGGAACUGCAUUGGUGACUGGCAGGCUAGAGUAUGGCAGAGGGGGGUAGAAUUCCACGUGUAGCAGUGAAAUGCGUAGAGAUGUGGAGGAAUACCGAUGGCGAAGGCAGCCCCCCUGGGCCAAAUACUGACGCUCAUGCACGAAAGCGUGGGGGAGCAAACAGGAUUAGAUACCCUGGUAGUCCACGCCCUAAACGAUGUCAACUAGUUGUUGGGGAUUCAUUUCCUUAGUAACGUAGCUAACGCGUGAAGUUGACCGCCU
Molecule: ribosomal RNA, 531 nt
Filed under: uncultured bacterium
Lineage: Bacteria
Description: partial 16S ribosomal RNA
Rfam family: Bacterial small subunit ribosomal RNA
Source: RNAcentral